RNAcentral lists this non-coding RNA (26 nucleotides) under Mus musculus (house mouse). Lineage: Eukaryota; Metazoa; Chordata; Mammalia; Rodentia; Muridae. The record is from RNAcentral.
UGUUCAUGGGCCUGCGCACACGACGC